RNAcentral lists this ribosomal RNA (253 nucleotides) under uncultured bacterium. RNAcentral describes it as "partial 16S ribosomal RNA". It matches the Rfam family "Bacterial small subunit ribosomal RNA", at positions 524 to 776 of the family's 1533-position model. The record is from RNAcentral.
UACGUAGGGUGCGAGCGUUAAUCGGAAUUACUGGGCGUAAAGUGUGCGCAGGCGGCGCCGCAAGUCGAGUGUGAAAGCCCCGGGCUUAACUUGGGAAUUGCGCUCGAAACUAUGGUGCUGGAGUGUGGCAGAGGAAGGUGGGAUUCCACGUGUAGCGGUGAAAUGCGUAGAGAUGUGGAGGAACACCGAUGGCGAAGGCAGCCUUCUGGGCCAACACUGACGCUCAUGCACGAAAGCGUGGGGAGCAAACAGG